This 6065-nucleotide long non-coding RNA is filed under the name Zostera marina. RNAcentral's name for it is "long non-coding RNA (ZMAR_LNC005257)". The record is from RNAcentral. Lineage: Eukaryota; Viridiplantae; Streptophyta; Magnoliopsida; Alismatales; Zosteraceae.
CAAUAUACAAUAUAAAUUUAUAAUAAAAAUUUAUAUAAUAUAAGUUUAUAAUAUAAAUAUAAAAUAUAACAAAAAUUUAAACGAACCGAACCAUUCUUGAACCUCAACCAAAGUUUGGGUUCGAUUCGUUUAGUUAAACGAAUCUAUUUUAAGGUUCGGGUUCGAUUCGUUUAAUAAUCGAACCGAACCUGAACUGAACCCGAAACGAAUAGAAUAGUUCGUCGAAUACCGAACUUUUAUUGCAACUCUACUCUCGUUAGAUCUACACCAAUAUGAUGUUUUAAUUGCUCAUAAAUUUACUUCAUGUGGCGUGAAUCGUGCUUUCGACAUGAACCAAGCAAGAAAUGAUUCCAACAAAACUUCUGCCAGUUCGUUGACCGAAUUAGUUCAAAAAAUGCAGCAGAUUCUGAUCCAAUCGGAUGUUCCCACUCCUGCUAAGCAAUCUAAUUUUGAAGGAAGAUUACCGACUUUUGAAUGGAGGAAGAGAUUAUGUACCGCAAACCCCUUCAUAAGUCGGUAACCUUCUUCCAAAAUUAGAUUGCUUAUAUAAUUGACCAAUUGUCCCAUUACAACCCUAAAUUACUUCAAGAGUAAUCGAAACAUCUAUUGGUAAAGAUCUUUCUUAGUACGUUCUAUCACGAAAUAAUUAACCUUUACCAUACAUUUCAUACCGGUGUCGCCUUUGCCAUAAGAGAGGACGAUGCAUUUUGUUUAACAGGAGUGGGAACUUCCGAUUGGAUCAAAAUCUGUUGCAUUUUUGAACUAAUUCUGUCAACGAACUGUCAGAAGUUUUGUUGGAAAUAUUUCUUUCUUGGUUCACGUCGAAAGCAAAGGCAGAAUGGAUGGUAACUUGUAUUUCCUCGGUGUCCACUUGAAACUAUAACUCUAUCCCUAUUCCGCACCUGGUGACGUUGAGGAGUCAUACCUACUUAAACUUCUUUCACUAAUAAAAUUAAACGAAGACCUUGAACUUGAUACUUCUGCAUUCCCAAUCUGGAUAUUUUAUUUACUUGGCAUUCUGGUUUUCCAUUUGAAUCGGUAGUCUUUGGAUGAUUUCUCACAUUUUCAAGAUCAUUAUGUGAAUUAUUCGUUUCUGGCAUAUUUUGGUUUCUGGCACCUUGAAUCAUUCACAUUCCUCAUCUUAAAUAUCCAUCCAUCCUUCAACGUUUGAAGUUUUGGAUUCAGCUUUUGGAAUUAACAUUUUCUAGAUUUUUAGUAUAAAUAAUUAAUGGUUAACAUAUGCUGCAAGAUAUUUUUAUUUUAGAAAAUAGAAAUAACCACAAAUUUAUCUGGGAAGGUUGCUAUAAUUUUGAGGUUAAAUAUGGCAAAGCAUAUCAUCCCUUCAUUUUAUUGUAAAUUUUUCUCAAUUGUGUAUUUUAUAGAUUUGAUUGAAAACGAGUUUGGGUGGCCCUGGACUUCGUAAAACUUGAAUAAACUUAAGUCAAUGAUCAAAUCAAGAAAUUGAAUAUAAGGGGGUUAAAAAUAAACUUAUGUAUUUAAUAUAUUAUAUAAGGUCAUUUAUAUAAAUUAUAUUAUAUAAAAUAUUAUAUAAGGUAUAAAUAUAAUUUACCCCGAAUACAGGACGAAAAUGGCAGGGCAUUUUUCUACUUCAGGUACGAGGCGAGUACAGGUACAUCUUACUCCUAUGAAAGACGGAUAUAAUUCAGCUAAUUAAUGGGUUGUUCAGAAAUAAAAGAUUAUACGGCCGUAUAGGUGAUAUGGUGUUGGUAGUAAUUUGACAGAUGUCAUCGAGAUUCAAGUAAACGUUAUACGUGGGUGACAUUUUCCAAACCAUAGAAAAAACAAAGAGAGGGGUGGAUUGACUCGACGCAUUUCAGAAAUUAAUUCAUAAAAAAAAAUACAAUGCAUUAUUAAAAAUAAAAAAGUUUACAUUUAACUCGUUUUUCAACAAAAACACUCUUCUUACUAUCAUUUAAAUUCUUAUUCUUUUGAAGUCGAACAACUUGUUUUGAAACAUCUAAGGAGGAUACACCAACUUUCGGCAAACCAAACAAAAAAAAUUUGGAUAAAAUUGUACAAGGAAAUGGAGAACAACAUUACAAAUGGUGAAGAAUUUAGACUGAAACCUAUUCCAUUUUGAUCAUUACAGUGGUGAAUAUUGAAAUAUAUAUUAUAGGAUUAAUUAUAUAUUUUUACUUUCAUUUAAAGUUGUAACAAAUAACAAAACCCCACUCAAAUAUAUGUGGUUUGUUAUCAUAAUUUGUGUAUAAAUACAACCAUAGUCUAGAGGCAAAAUCAAGGAUUGAUUUGCCCAAACUCCAUCUCUAUUUCAUCUUCAUACGAUUGCUAAUCUUUUUCCAUCUCAAUGGCGUUCUUCGGUUCCUCAUCUCUCUCCAUCGAUGGCAAUCACCAAUUCAACAGUGAACGGUGGAGAAUUAAUGUCACAAAUGGUGUAAUUUUAAAUAAAAAUGGAGGGUCAUGAUGCUUUUUAACGCUUUUGAGAAAUAAAGGAUGACCUUGUAUUAAUUAAUAUUUAACUUAAGGGUUAAAUAUAAAUACACCAUUUAUAUUUUAUAGUAUAUUUAAUUAAUUAUUGAUAUUUUAAAGUAAAUAAAAAAAAAAUCAUUAAAAUUAAUACGAUGAAACAUCAUUUCCCGCAACCCAGACUCGGUCCAUUUACAGUCCUAAAUACGAUGAAACAUCAUUAAAAUUAAUACAGCGUUACAUAGGGAUAGAAAUGAUAAUAUUACAACAUCAUUGCAUAAUUAUUCCAAUAUAAAUAUAAAUAUAAAAUUGCUCAAAAUGAAUAAAAGAAUACAAAAUUAUUCUAAAUCCUAGUUACCUUGGCUGAUCAUCAGUUCCCGCAACCCUCCUUCUCCUGCUGUUUCACGUCAUCAACAACUUCAUUUCCCCCAUUAGACGUCGCAGCUAGCUCCGGCUUGAUCUCUGACACGGUCGGAGGCUCGUGUCGAAGUCGGGAACGAUCGGAAUGUUAAGAGAGAGUCGGAAUUGAAAACGAGAAUGGUUAUAUCAUAAAAUCGUAUUUGUAUAUCUAUAAUUCUUAGUAUUUAUAGGAUCAGUCUUUGCGUUUAUAGGAUUGAUCCCCGCGUAAAAUCCACAUCGAGGUAACUAUUGUGCAUGCAUACCCAUGCAACUGUAAAUAAUAUCUAUCUAAUAUAUAAUACUAUCUCCAGUUAAUCGGAGUUAACUACUUAAUAAUGUUCUUUAUCAUCUUCCUUAAUACCUCAAGGUCUAGGACGUAAUUACAGUGGUUAGUUGUCUUGGCGACUCCCGACGUAAUCCACUUGGUAGACGUCGUACUCGGCGCUGACGUUUGGGUUGAGGCAAAGGUGCGGCGUUAGACGUAUCAAUCUCCUCCAGCUGUUGAAGUAUCUGCUGCACCUCUGGUCUCGCGGGAGGAGACGGAUCGACGCAAUGCAAAGCUAAUUUCAACGUAUCUACAAGCUCAUCGCCGGUGGCGUCUCGUAUGAGGUCCAAAUCAAAUACCUCAGUACUGGUCCAUUCUUCUUUUAUGAGUAUUGUGAAGAAUAGGAUAAUCGAAUUGAUUAAACUUAUGAAAUACAAAGUCUAUUUAUUACGAGUUGUUGGUACCAUGGACCGCGGCCCAUGGUGCCAAAUGGUCUCUGACGAGCUGACUGGAGAAGCCAACUAUGUGGCAUGGGCAAUUUUAAUGAAGCUGUCACUUGUCUCAAGGAAGAAGACAACCUUCAUAAAUGGAAAAAUAAAGAAACAUGUUGAUGAAACAGGUGAAGAGUUUGAAGAUUGGGAAAUGGUCAAUGGACUGGUGUUAUCUUGGAUCAUCAAUGGAGUAAGUCCACAGAUUGCCUCAACAUUAAUUCACACUGACACAACUUAUGAAGCUAAUUAAUUGGUUUGAGCUUCAAGAAAGAUAUAAGCAAAAUAAUGCACUCAAGACCAGCCAAUUAAGGUAUGAAGUUAAUACCUUAAAUCAAGCAAAUGACUCAGUCUCAGUUUACUUUGAUAAAUUUAAAUCACUAUGGGAUCAAUACAUAGAAAUUGAAAAACCAGAGCGUAGAUUCUGUAAUAUGUGUGCUCCUAUACACACAAAGAAAAUUCAAAAAGAUAAAACUCACCAGUUCCUCUUAGGGCUAAAUGAAGAAUUUAUGACUAUUAGAAGUCAGAUUCUUGCUUAUUCUGAACUGUCAUUCAUGAAUCAAGUUUUUUCCCUAGUCAUACAAGAAGAAAAACAGAAAGUUAACCUUGGGGAAAAGAUAGGAGGUAAUGCAACUGCAUUUUAUGCAAAGAAGAAUGACAAAGAAGAAAAGAAAGAAGAGCCAAAUAAGAGGAUGUAUAGUAAGAGUGGGAAAAAAUUAGAUACAAAUUUUUACUGUGAUAAUUGCAAGUUUUUUGGUCAUCUCAGAGAGGUAGAGUUUUCCCAGAACAACCAGCCUCUGGGUUUUUUACCCUCCUUUUCUUUUUUUUUUCUUUUUUUUUUUUGAAGCAACCCUCCUUUUCUUUUUCUACACAGAAUUAUAUACUUUGGACUAUAGAACCACCAGAAUGGAUUACCAAAUCAAAGUCAAUCUUACAUAAGAAUCUAUAUACAAAUUGUCUUUGAGUGAUGGUUAGUUACUAAUUAUUAGUUAGUUGUUAAACUAAUAUGAUCGAUGUAUAAAUACUAAGUGUGGUUUUUAGUUCAUUCGAUGGUCUCAUUUAGCAUUGUUAACUGAGCCUACUGAACCGAAUAACUAACUGAAUAGUUUGUCGAAUACCGAACAUUUUUUACAUUAUUCUCAAAAUAAACAUGUCCAUCUUUGAAAAAUAAACAUUGUUUAUGAUCUAUUUUCUUUUGUUACGUCAAUCCUUAGUGAUAUUUCUUCUGGUUGAUUAAGAACAAGCAUGUCAUCUUCCUAAAGCCACGACAAAAACUAAAACCUUAGAAACUAAAAAAUUAAUAUAUAGUUAUAUUAAUGAAAAAUUAAAAAAAUAUACAUAAGUUAUUAAAUAUAUAAUAUAAAUUUAUAAUAAAAAGUUAUAUAAUAUAAGUUUAUAAUAUAAAUAUAAAUUAUAACAAAAAUUUAAACGAACCAAACCAUUCUACGAAUGUCAACCAAGGUUUGAGUUCAAUCCGUUUAAUUAAACGAAUCUAUUUUAAGGUUCGGGUUCGAUUCGUUUAAUAACCGAACCCGAACUGAACCCGAAAUGAACUGAAUGUGUGAAUCGUGCUUUCGACAUGAACCAAGCAACAAAUGUUUCCAACAAAACUUCUGCCAGUUCGUUGACCGAAUUUGUUCAAAAAAUGCAGCAGAUUCUGAUCCAAUCGGAUGUUCCCAUUCCUGCUAAGCAAUCUAAUUUUGGAGGAAGAUUACCGACUUUUGAAUGGAGGAAGAGAUUAUGUACUGCAAACCCUCUCUUCAUAAGUCGGUAACCUUCCUCCAAAAUUAGAUUGCUUGUAUAAGUUGACCAAUUGUCCCAUCACAACCCUAAAUAACUUCAAGAGUAAUCGAAACAUCAUAUUGGUAAAGAUCUUUCAUAGUAAGUUCUGCCACGAAAUGAUUAACCUUUACCAUACAUUUCGUACUGGUGUCGCCUUUGCCAUAAGAGAAGACGAUGCAUUAUAUUUAACAGGAGUGGGAACUUCCGAUUGGAUCAAAAUCUGUUGCAUUUUUGAACUAAUUCAAUCAACGAACUGUCAGAAGUUUUGUUGGAAACAUUUCUUGCUUGGUUCACGUCGAAAGCAAAGGCAGAAUGGACGGUAACUUGUAUUUCCUCGGUGUCCACUUGAAACUACAAUUCUAUCCCUAUUCCGCACCUGGUGAUGUUGAUAUCCCUAUUCCGUACUUGGUGAUGUUGAGGAGUCAUACUUACUUAAACUUCUUUCACUAAUAAAAUUAAACGAAGACCUUGAACUUGAUACUUCUGCAUUCCCAAUCUGGAUAUUUUAUUUACUUGGCAUUCUGGCUUUCCAUUUGAAUCGGUAGUCUUUGGAUGAUUUCUCACAUUUUCAAGAUCAUUAUGUGAAUUAUUCGUUUCUGGCAUAUUUUGGUUUCUGGCAUCUUUGUCAUUAGAAUCAUUUCUUUUCCUUUUCUUAAAUAUCCAUCCUUCAACGUUUGAAGUUUUGG